CUUGAGCACGUAGGUGGGUUUGUAAGUCAGGUGUGAAAGCCUUCUGUUCAACGGGAGAAUUGCAUCUGAAACUACGAAUCUUGAGUGUAGGAGGGGAGAAUGGAACUUCUGGUGGAGCGGUGAAAUGCGUAGAUAUCAGAAGGAACGCCGGCGGCGAAAGCGAUUCUCUGGCCUAUUACUGACACUCAGUGUGCGAAAGCUAGGGGAGCAAACGGGAUUAGAUACCCCGGUAGUCCUAGCCGUAAACGAUGGGCACUAAGUAGAGGGGAUUACCGACGUUCUCUCUGCCGUAGCUAACGCAUUAAGUGCCCCGCCUGGGGAGUACGGCCGCAAGGCUAAAACUCAAAAGAAUUGACGGGGGCUCGCACAAGCGGUGGAGCAUGUGGCUUAAUUCGAUGCAACGCGAAGAACCUUACCGGGGCUUGACAUGGUAGAAGUAGGAACCCGAAAGGGUAACGAACGGUAUCCAGUCCGUGACUAUCACAGGUGUUGCAUGGCUGUCGUCAGCUCGUGUCGUGAGACGUUGGGUUAAGUCCCCUAACGAGCGAAACCCUUGUUUUUAGUUACCAGCGGGUUAUGCCGGGUACUCUAGAAAGACUGCCGUCGUCAAGACGGAGGAAGGUGGGGAUGACGUCAAGUCAUCAUGGCCCUUAUGCCCCGGGCUGCACACGUGCUACAAUGGUCGGUACAAACGGAAGCGAAGCCGAGAGGUGAAGCGAAUCCAAGC
RNAcentral lists this ribosomal RNA (727 nucleotides) under uncultured Planctomycetota bacterium. RNAcentral's name for it is "bacterial SSU rRNA". It matches the Rfam family "Bacterial small subunit ribosomal RNA", at positions 562 to 1278 of the family's 1533-position model. Lineage: Bacteria; Pseudomonadati; Planctomycetota. The record is from RNAcentral.